Molecule: ribosomal RNA, 688 nt
Filed under: Verrucocladosporium dirinae
Lineage: Eukaryota; Fungi; Ascomycota; Dothideomycetes; Cladosporiales; Cladosporiaceae
Description: eukaryotic LSU rRNA
Rfam family: 5.8S ribosomal RNA (bases 320-474)
Source: RNAcentral
AUGCGUAGCUGACGCCCGACCGUUUUCGACCCCCGGUACCCCGGGGGGCGGCCGAUCAGCGUGCUCAGUUACCAGGCCACUCACCGGAGCGCGCCCCUGCGGGGGUAGCGUGGGGAGGGGAGAGCUCCCGCUAAGGUUGUAGCCGACCCCGUUUGUACCUGCGCCCGUGAUGGUCGGAUCUUCAUCAAAACCCUUUGUUGUCCGACUCUGUUGCCUCGGGGGCGACCCUGCCCUUCAUUGGGCUCGGGGGACCCCCGGUGGACAUUAACCAAACUCUUGCGUAUCUUUGUCGUCUGAGUGAUUUUAUAAAUCAAAUUAAAACUUUCAACAAACGGAUCUCUUGGUUCUGGCAUCGAUGAAGAACGCAGCGAAAUGCGAUAAGUAAUGUGAAUUGCAGAAUUCAGUGAAUCAUCGAAUCUUUGAACGCACAUUGCGCCCCUUGGUAUUCCGGGGGGCAUGCCUGUUCGAGCGUCAUUUCACCACUCAAGCCUCGCUUGGUAUUGGGCGACGCGGUACGCCGCGCGCCCCAAAUCGACCGGCUGGGUCGACCGUCCCCUCAGCGUUGUGGCAACUAUUCGCUAAAGGGUGUCGCGGUCGGUCACGCCGUAAAACAAGACCUCAUUUCUAAGGUUGACCUCGGAUCAGGUAGGGAUACCCGCUGAACUUAAGCAUAUCAAUAAGCGGAGGA